AUUCCAUGAGUUGGGCACUGUUGCAAAAGUUCUUUAAAUCUCAGCCACAACUCAUGUAUUGACUCUCCCUACAAUUGCCUGAAACUUAAGAUGUUAUUCCUAAGAAU
RNAcentral lists this small nucleolar RNA (107 nucleotides) under Solanum tuberosum (potato). RNAcentral describes it as "Plant small nucleolar RNA R71". It matches the Rfam family "Plant small nucleolar RNA R71". Rfam says of the family: R71 is a member of the C/D box family of snoRNAs containing the C (UGAUGA) and D (CUGA) box motifs. Multiple nearly identical copies of this snoRNA have been identified in Arabidopsis, and it is thought to function as a 2'-O-ribose methylation guide for 18S ribosomal RNA. The record is from Rfam by way of RNAcentral. Lineage: Eukaryota; Viridiplantae; Streptophyta; Magnoliopsida; Solanales; Solanaceae.